GCGUGAGUGACGAAGGCCUUCGGGUUGUAAAGCUCUUUUGACGGGGACGAUAAUGACGGUACCCGUAGAAUAAGUCCCGGCUAACUUCGUGCCAGCAGCCGCGGUAAUACGAAGGGGACUAGCGUUGUUCGGAAUUACUGGGCGUAAAGCGCACGUAGGCGGAAUUGUCAGUCAGGGGUGAAAUCCCGGGGCUCAACCUCGGAACUGCCCUUGAUACAGCAAUUCUUGAAUCCGGUAGAGGUGGGUGGAAUUCCUAGUGUAGAGGUGAAAUUCGU
This 275-nucleotide ribosomal RNA is filed under the name uncultured bacterium. Its description in RNAcentral is "partial 16S ribosomal RNA". It matches the Rfam family "Bacterial small subunit ribosomal RNA", at positions 399 to 691 of the family's 1533-position model. The record is from RNAcentral.